AUUGAACGCUGGCGGCAGGCCUCACACAUGCAAGUCGAACGAGUGGCGGACGGGUGCGUCAUGUCUGGGAAACUGCCUUAUGGAGGGGGCUAACUCCUGGAAACUGUAGCUAAUACCGCAUACCAUCGGAUGUGCCCAGAUGGGAUUCGCUAGUAGGUGGGGUAACGGCUCACCUCGGCGACGAUCCCUAGCUGGUCUGAGAGGAUGACCAGCCACACUGGAACUGAGACACGGUCCAGACUCCUAGGGGAGGCAGCAGUGGGGAAUAUUGCACAAUGGGCGCAAGCCUGAUGCAGCCAUGCCGCGUGUAUGAAGAAGGCCUUCGGGUUGUAAAGUACGUUCAGCGGGGAGGCGUUACCCGCAGAAGAAGCACCGGCUAACUCCGUGCCAGCAGCCGCGGUAAUUC
This 406-nucleotide ribosomal RNA is filed under the name uncultured bacterium. Its description in RNAcentral is "partial 16S ribosomal RNA". It matches the Rfam family "Bacterial small subunit ribosomal RNA", at positions 30 to 526 of the family's 1533-position model. The record is from RNAcentral.